This is a long non-coding RNA of Bacillus rossius redtenbacheri, 3192 nucleotides long. RefSeq lists it as uncharacterized. The transcript has 2 exons. The record is from RefSeq and is a predicted model, not a curated record. Lineage: Eukaryota; Metazoa; Arthropoda; Insecta; Phasmatodea; Bacillidae.
UUUAACUAAAUAUAACAAAUAAUUAUUAAACACGGAUUUAUAAUAAUCCUAUUAUAUAUAGUUACUCUUCCUACAUAUAACCAAGCUUAUCACUGACUCACUGACUCUGUAACUCCAAAGAGAUAUGUAUGUAUACCUUGGAGAAUAUUCCUACUAUUCUAGUUUACCAAAAUACAUUCCAGGGUGGUUUUACUACCACAAAGAUUCAUUUGGCACACCAAUACGUUUUGUAUGCACCCUAAUGUUUACGAAAGUGACUAUAUACUGGUUUACAUUGCUACACGUGGAUCCGCCAUCUUGACUUCUUCGUUAAUUUUACUUCCGUUCCAUUCACGAAAUUACUCCUAGACUCCUACUGAAUGUUGUAUGCCGAGAGCUAAGAUGUUUAUACAUAAAAAUAAUUAUUAAUUUAAAUAUUAUAAUUAAUAAAUAUACAUUAUUUUUAUAAAUGUAUCUUAAGAUUUCUACUACAUUUUACAUUUAAAAACCCAAUAAAAAAUUAAUUGAAGUUUUAGAAACUGACAAAGCGCAAUCUGUUCAUUACUGACGUCUCAACCAGCCCCGUGAAACUUAUAUGUGCAAUUUGUGCACGAUGUUGUGUUUCCUUGAGUGACAACUUGGAGCGCUUACUGUCAACGAUUUAUUAUUAUUAUUAUUAUUAUUAUUAUUAUUAUUAUUAUUAUUAUUAUUAUUAUUAUUAUUAUUAUUAUUUCUGUUGAUAUUUGAAAAUGGCGGGUUUUCAUGUUAGGUUAGGUUAAGUUAAAAAGGGUUAACCUUAUUUUCUAUUUAAGCGAAAUGGAAAAGAAUUAUUUGGAUGGUAGGAAGUGUGCUGCUUUGGGAUGUCCAUCCACUUUCAUGAAUUCGAAAUUAUUUCGUUUUCCUAGGAAUUCGAAAGAGAGGUACCAGAAAUGGGCUGGCAUUGCAAAGAAUCCUAUACUUGAUGUACAAAGUAUGACAUCUUCGUACCUUUGUGGGAACCACUUUGCAAGGAAUCAGUUUCGAGACGAGAACCAGACAACUCUGAUUUUUGGAGCAGUACCUGUAGCAAAGGACAAUUCUGGCUACUUGGAUGAUGAUUUUCUCCCUGCAAAUAGUGUCGUCUCUGACUCGUGGAAACAUUCAACGCCAAGAAACAAGCAAAGUUGUGCUACAAAAUUGAAGUGAAAGGUUGGUUAGGUUAGGUCAGCUACAUUUUAAAUGCUUUGGCAUUGUGAUAGGAAAACAAUAUUGGCCAAAAAUGGCAUUCUUUAUGGGUUACAGUCUUAAUUUCAAAAUGCCAUUUUAAAAUUUUAUUUAUUUUUAGAAAAGCCACAUUUGUAAUGUUUUAGCAAUUCCAAACAUAUAUUAUGUGUUGACCAAAGAUUAGUGUUGUCUAAAACAAGUACUAAAUCCUUACAAUCAUUUCUGCUGCCACCAGCUGAUUAAAAGACAUGGUUUACGUUAAUGAUAUUAGUUACGAUUCUCACGAAGUAAUUUAGAGUUGAUGGAGGUUUUGCAUUUCAAGUCUUAUCUUCUUUUACUUUAUUAUUAUUUAAUAAUUUUCACAUCAUAAACUUAAGCACUGUUCACAAGGAUUGAUAUUUAAUUUUUUGUGUCUCUUAUGUGAUUAUUUAAAGAUGCUGAACAGCAAUGAUGGGUAUUGUAAAUUAUAAUUAAAAUAUUACAGCAGUGCAAUGUACGUGAUAACUCAGAAGUCAUAAUCACAAUGAAGUGUUAAUUUAAUUUUACUAGGCGUAUGAAAACUUAAUACUUUGAAAAAAUUUACAGUAGAUGGGAAUUGUACAAAUUGAAUACCUAUGUAACAUCCCACAAUAUUAUAGUGAAACACUUAUUAAUCCUAUGUUGCAAAAACUCAUUUUUUUAUCUGCUUUUAUAGAAUUUUAGAACAUGAGAAUCAUAAUUCUAUGUUUUGUGUGUGAAAUAGGUUAGGAAAGAUUCGCGUUUUAAAUUGUUUUUAAAUGUUUUAGCAUUAAAAAUCUAUUUGUAAAGCAGGGGUUAUAUUAGUGAUUAGAAGCCAUCACACCAUACAUUUGCCAUUGCUUCAAAUGAUAUAUGUGUGUGUGAGAAAAAACAUGUUUUUUAUAAUAAUUUAGUAAUAACAGAAUGGUGGAUACUUUAGACUUUAGAGCUAUAAAUGAAAUAACCAUAUACUAGUGCUUUUGAAGCAGCUAGUUUGAUUUAGUAAUACUUCUUCAAAUUGUUAUUUGAAUGCAAAGAAUUUGCAUACCCUUGUAUUUUGGCUGUUUUUGUUAUGUUUAUGCACAUUGUAUUUUUAUUUUUUUAGAAUACCUACAUUUAUAUUUAUACUAUAUCAUGUAAACCAGGAUGAGUAACAAGGUAUUUCAGCACUGUCGCUGAUGGGAUUAUUAUGUUAUUAGCCGAUGUCAGGGUCUGCACUAAAUGAUGCUUCCAAAUGUAGCCAAUAAGCACACAUGAUAAAUAAACUUAAAGUAUCCAAUAUAACCACAAACACAGAUUGCCAUAAUGUAUCUAGUCAUUAUUUUUGAAAACAUUAUUGUGGUGGGACAGAACAAACAAAUGCCUGUCUUUACAAGUUGUUCUUACUUUAGUUACCAUCCUUGAUACCACUAUUUUAAUUUGAAUGAAAACAAUGUUUGAAUAAAACUAUACAUUUUUUUUAUUACCUACCAUCAGAAUUCAGGAUGCACCUGCAGGCACUCAGUUUUUGAUUUUGGUUUUGUUUGAGGAAUUAACUCAGAACCAAUUUAUAUAUACAUAUAUUUUUUAAUGUAUACUUGUAAGAACCAUGUAUUAUAUCACUUGCUAUAUAUCAUUAUACCAUUCUUGUUGAAUAAGUCAUGCCUAGGAAAACUAACUCUAUAUCUAUUAUGAGAGUGUAUAACAUACCUGUUUAGGGAGUGUUUAGCAAUAAACACUCAGCAAUGCUACUUCCCUGUUAAUUUAGUGGGUAAUUUUCUAGAGUAGGUGCUCAACCUAGGAAAAAUAUUGAAAAUUCUGAAAAUGGUGUUUUUGUUAACAACUAAUGUUCCUUAAGAUAUUCUGAAUCAGGUGUUCUCAAAUUUUAAAUAGGAUACUCAAGAAAGUAAUAUUGGAGACUGGAGAGAAUUAUGAAGUCCGAGUAAAUUGUGGUGUUAAACAUGCACAAAUGUUUCUUUUGUAUUUUCUUUCCCUUAGCAAAUGAUAAAGCUGUAAAUAAAUAAAGAUUCAAAA